This 1492-nucleotide ribosomal RNA is filed under the name metagenome. RNAcentral describes it as "bacterial SSU rRNA". It matches the Rfam family "Bacterial small subunit ribosomal RNA". The record is from RNAcentral.
AGAGUUUGAUCCUGGCUCAGAUUGAACGCUGGCGGCAUGCCUUACACAUGCAAGUCGAACGGUAACGCGGGGGCAACCCUGGCGACGAGUGGCGAACGGGUGAGUAAUACAUCGGAACAUAUCCAGUAGCGGGGGAUAACCUAUCGAAAGAUGGACUAAUACCGCAUACGAUCUACGGAUGAAAGCAGGGGACCGCAAGGCCUUGCACUAUUGGAGUGGCCGAUGUCGGAUUAGCUAGCUGGUGGGGUAAAAGCUUACCAAGGCGACGAUCCGUAGCUGGUCUGAGAGGACGAUCAGCCACACUGGAACUGAGACACGGUCCAGACUCCUACGGGAGGCAGCAGUGGGGAAUUUUGGACAAUGGGCGCAAGCCUGAUCCAGCCAUGCCGCGUGAGUGAAGAAGGCCUUCGGGUUGUAAAGCUCUUUCGGUGAAGACGAAACGGUUCAUGCUAAUAACGUGAACUAAUGACGGUACUCACAGAAGAAGCACCGGCUAACUACGUGCCAGCAGCCGCGGUAAUACGUAGGGUGCAGGCGUUAAUCGGAAUUACUGGGCGUAAAGCGUGCGCAGGCGGUUUGCUAAGACAGGUGUGAAAUCCCCGGGCUUAACCUGGGAAUUGCGCUUGUAACUGGCAAGCUAGAGUGUGGCAGAGGGGGUGGAAUUCCACGUGUAGCAGUGAAAUGCGUAGAUAUGUGGAGGAACACCGAUGGCGAAGGCAGCCCCCUGGGUUAACACUGACGCUCAUGCACGAAAGCGUGGGGAGCAAACAGGAUUAGAUACCCUGGUAGUCCACGCCCUAAACUAUGUCAACUAGUUGUCGGGGAAGAAAUUCCUUGGUAACGAAGCUAACGCGUGAAGUUGACCGCCUGGGGAGUACGGCCGCAAGGUUAAAACUCAAAGGAAUUGACGGGGACCCGCACAAGCGGUGGAUUAUGUGGAUUAAUUCGAUGCAACGCGAAAAACCUUACCUACCCUUGACAUGCUAGGAAGCCCGCAGAGAUGUGGGUGUGCCCGAAAGGGAACCUAGACACAGGUGCUGCAUGGCUGUCGUCAGCUCGUGUCGUGAGAUGUUGGGUUAAGUCCCGCAACGAGCGCAACCCUUGCCAUUAGUUGCUACAUUCAGUUGGGCACUCUAAUGGGACCGCCGGUGACAAACCGGAGGAAGGUGGGGAUGACGUCAAGUCCUCAUGGCCCUUAUGGGUAGGGCUUCACACGUAAUACAAUGGUCGGUACAGAGGGCUGCCAACCCGCAAGGGGGAGCUAAUCCCAGAAAGCCGAUCGUAGUCCGGAUUGUAGUCUGCAACUCGACUGCAUGAAGCCGGAAUCGCUAGUAAUCGCGGAUCAGCAUGUCGCGGUGAAUACGUUCCCGGGUCUUGUACACACCGCCCGUCACACCAUGGGAGUGGGUUCCACCAGAAGUAGUUAGCCUAACCGCAAGGAGGGCGAUUACCACGGUGAGAUUCAUGACUGGGGUGAAGUCGUAACAAGGUA